This is a non-coding RNA of Nicotiana tabacum (common tobacco), 203 nucleotides long. Lineage: Eukaryota; Viridiplantae; Streptophyta; Magnoliopsida; Solanales; Solanaceae. The record is from RefSeq and is a predicted model, not a curated record.
GAUUUUUCGAGAAACUAGCGGGAGGCGUAAGGAAACUAGCAACGCGAGACUUGCAGACUUGCAGCUUCAGAUUGAGAUCAUUGGGGGCCGUUUGGCCGGUGUUCUAGACUUUUCAAGGUUGAGGAACUUGGCAUUGACGAGAUACUGUUGCUGAGGACGAGGCUAGUGGCUAACGAGUUCGUUGAGUGGAUUCUAUUACUGAG